AUGAACGCUGGCGGCGUGCCUAAUACAUGCAAGUCGAGCGAACAGACGAGGAGCUUGCUCCUCUGACGUUAGCGGCGGACGGGUGAGUAACACGUGGAUAACCUACCUAUAAGACUGGGAUAACUUCGGGAAACCGGAGCUAAUACCGGAUAAUAUAUUGAACCGCAUGGUUCAAUAGUGAAAGACGGUUUUGCUGUCACUUAUAGAUGGAUCCGCGCCGCAUUAGCUAGUUGGUAAGGUAACGGCUUACCAAGGCAACGAUGCGUAGCCGACCUGAGAGGGUGGUCGGCCACACGGGAACUGAGAGAGGGGCGGGACACUGACGGGAGGCAGCAGUAGGGAAUCUUACGCAAGGGGCGAAAGCCGGACAGAGCAAAGUCGCGGGAAUGAUGAAGGUCUUAGGAUCGUAAAACGCUGUUAGUAGGGAAGAAGAAAUGUGUAAGUAAAUAGGAAGGACUUGACGGUACCUAAUCAGAAAGCCACGGCUAAAUACGUG
RNAcentral lists this ribosomal RNA (496 nucleotides) under uncultured bacterium. Its description in RNAcentral is "partial 16S ribosomal RNA". It matches the Rfam family "Bacterial small subunit ribosomal RNA", at positions 30 to 507 of the family's 1533-position model. The record is from RNAcentral.